UGGGGAAUAUUGCACAAUGGGCGCAAGCCUGAUGCAGCGACGCCGCGUGAGGGAUGGAGGCCUUCGGGUUGUAAACCUCUUUUGUUAGGGAGCAAGGCAUUUUGUGUUGAGUGUACCUUUCGAAUAAGCACCGGCUAACUACGUGCCAGCAGCCGCGGUAAUACGUAGGGUGCAAGCGUUAUCCGGAAUUAUUGGGCGUAAAGGGCUCGUAGGCGGUUCGUCGCGUCCGGUGUGAAAGUCCAUCGCUUAACGGUGGAUCCGCGCCGGGUACGGGCGGGCUUGAGGGCGGUAGGGGAGACUGGAAUUCCCGGUGUAACGGUGGAAUGUGUAGAUAUCGGGAAGAACACCAAUGGCGAAGGCAGGUCUCUGGGCCGUUACUGACGCUGAGGAGCGAAAGCGUGGGGAGCGAACA
Molecule: ribosomal RNA, 412 nt
Filed under: uncultured prokaryote
Description: bacterial SSU rRNA
Rfam family: Bacterial small subunit ribosomal RNA
Source: RNAcentral